Camelus ferus (Wild Bactrian camel) is the source of this 72-nucleotide transfer RNA. It matches the Rfam family "tRNA". Rfam says of the family: Transfer RNA (tRNA) molecules are approximately 80 nucleotides in length. Their secondary structure includes four short double-helical elements and three loops (D, anti-codon, and T loops). Further hydrogen bonds mediate the characteristic L-shaped molecular structure. tRNAs have two regions of fundamental functional importance: the anti-codon, which is responsible for specific mRNA codon recognition, and the 3' end, to which the tRNAs corresponding amino acid is attached (by aminoacyl-tRNA synthetases). tRNAs cope with the degeneracy of the genetic code in two manners: having more than one tRNA (with a specific anti-codon) for a particular amino acid; and 'wobble' base-pairing, i.e. permitting non-standard base-pairing at the 3rd anti-codon position. Lineage: Eukaryota; Metazoa; Chordata; Mammalia; Artiodactyla; Camelidae. The record is from Rfam.
GAGGGUGUCGCUCAGUGGAAGGGCACAUGCUUAGCAUGCACAAGGUCCUGGGUUUGACCCCCAGUACCGCCA